GUUUUGCGUGAGUGAUGGGAGUGGAGCUCUUUUUUGAGAAGCUUUUUUGCCUCUCAAAAAAAGCGCGAACGGACAGCAGGACCCGAA
This 87-nucleotide small RNA is filed under the name Flavobacterium omnivorum. RNAcentral describes it as "Flavo-1 RNA". It matches the Rfam family "Flavo-1 RNA". Lineage: Bacteria; Pseudomonadati; Bacteroidota; Flavobacteriia; Flavobacteriales; Flavobacteriaceae. The record is from RNAcentral.